CAGGAUGAACGCUAGCUACAGGCUUAACACAUGCAAGUCGAGGGGUAGUAGGGUAGCAAUACCGCUGACGACCGGCGCACGGGUGAGUAACACGUAUCCAACCUUCCCAUAACUCAGGGAUAGCCUUUCGAAAGAAAGAUUAAUACCUGAUAGUGCUUUUUCAAGGCAUCUUGAGAAGUUAAAGAUUUAUUGGUUAUGGAUGGGGAUGCGUUCCAUUAGAUAGUUGGUGAGGUAACGGCUCACCAAGUCUUCGAUGGAUAGGGGUUCUGAGAGGAAGGUCCCCCACAUUGGUACUGAGACACGGACCAAACUCCUACGGGAGGCAGCAGUGAGGAAUAUUGGUCAAUGGGCGAGAGCCUGAACCAGCCAAGUAGCGUGAAGGAUGAAGGUCCUAUGGAUUGUAAACUUCUUUUAUAGUAGAAUAAAGUGAUCCACGUGUGGAUUUUUGUAUGUAUACUAUGAAUAAGGAUCGGCUAACUCCGUGCCAGCAGCGGC
Molecule: ribosomal RNA, 495 nt
Filed under: uncultured bacterium
Lineage: Bacteria
Description: bacterial SSU rRNA
Rfam family: Bacterial small subunit ribosomal RNA
Source: RNAcentral